RNAcentral lists this ribosomal RNA (274 nucleotides) under uncultured bacterium. Its description in RNAcentral is "partial 16S ribosomal RNA". It matches the Rfam family "Bacterial small subunit ribosomal RNA", at positions 523 to 796 of the family's 1533-position model. The record is from RNAcentral.
AUACGGAGGGUGCAAGCGUUACUCGGAAUCACUGGGCGUAAAGCGCGCGCAGGCGGGCUGAUAAGUUGGAUGUGAAAGCCUACGGCUCAACCGUAGAACUGCAUCCAAAACUGUCAGUCUAGAGUGUGGGAGAGGAAGAUGGAAUUAGUUGUGUAGGGGUAAAAUCCGUAGAGAUAACUAGGAAUACCAAAAGCGAAGGCAAUCUUCUGGAACACUACUGACGCUGAGGCGCGAAGGCGUGGGGAGCAAACAGGAUUAGAAACCCUGGUAGUCC